AUUGAACGCUGGCGGCAUGCUUUACACAUGCAAGUCGAGCGGCAGCGCGGGGGCAACCCUGGCGGCGAGCGGCGAACGGGUGAGGAAUACAUCGGAACGUACCCGAGAGUGGGGGAUAACGCCGCGAAAGCGGCGCUAAUACCGCAUAUUCUCCGAGGAGGAAAGUGGGGGACCGCAAGGCCUCACGCUCACGGAGCGGCCGAUGUCGGAUUAGCUAGUUGUGGGUAAAGCCACAAGGCGACGAUCCGUAGCUGGUCUGAGAGGAUGAUCAGCCACACUGGGACUGAGACACGGCCCAGACUCCUAC
This 307-nucleotide ribosomal RNA is filed under the name uncultured bacterium. Its description in RNAcentral is "bacterial SSU rRNA". It matches the Rfam family "Bacterial small subunit ribosomal RNA", at positions 29 to 342 of the family's 1533-position model. The record is from RNAcentral.